Molecule: ribosomal RNA, 498 nt
Filed under: uncultured bacterium
Lineage: Bacteria
Description: bacterial SSU rRNA
Rfam family: Bacterial small subunit ribosomal RNA
Source: RNAcentral
GAUGAACGCUAGCGGCAGGCCUAAUACAUGCAAGACGAACGGUAAGUUGAGUAGCAAUACUUAGCCAAGAGUGUCGUACGGGUGCGUAACACGUAUGCAACCUACCCUAUACAGGAGGAUAGCCUAGGGAAACCUGGAUUAACCCUUCAUAGUAUUAUUGGAUGGCAUCAUUUGAUAAUUAAAACUGAGGUGGUAUAGGAUGGGCAUGCGUCUGAUUAGUUAGUUGGCGGGGUAAUGGCCCACCAAGACGAUGAUCAGUAGGGGUUCUGAGAGGAAGAUCCCCCACACUGGCACUGAGAUACGGGCCAGACUCCUACGGGAGCAGCAGUAGGGAAUAUUGGUCAAUGGAUGCAAGUCUGAACCAGCCAUGCCGCGUGCAGGAAGAAGGCCUUCUGGGUUGUAAACUGCUUUUGCCAGGGGAUAAAAUUUCCAUGCGUGGAAAACUGAAGGUACCUGGUGAAUAAGCCACGGCUAAUACGUGCCAGCAGCCGCGGUAAU